UUUUUUUUAUUUUUUUCUUAAGACAGAGUCUCACUCUUUCAUCCAGGCUGGAGUGCGGUGGCGUGAUCUGGGCUCACUGCAAGCUCCACCUCCUGGGUUCAAGUGAUUCUCCUGCCUCAGCCUCCCCAGUAGCUGGUACUAUAGGCGCCCGCCACCACGCCCGGCUAACUUUUUGUAUUUUUAGUAGAGACGGGGUUUCACCGUGUUAGCCAGGACGGUCUCAAUCUCCUAACCUUAUGAUCCGCCCGCCUCGGCCUCCCAAAGUGCUGGGAUUACAGGCGUGAGCCACCACGCCCGGCAAUCACAGAUGUUAACAAUUCUCUCUUCUAGUUCUUGAUUGUCACCAAUGAGAAACAUUGACAAAAGUAGGUGAUAAAAUAUUUAACCCUCCCGGCUGGGCACGGAGGCUCACACCUGUAAUCCAGCAUUUUGGGAGGCAGAGGUGUGUGGAUUACCUGAGGUCGGGAGUUCGAGACCAGCCUGGCCAAUAUGGUGAACCCUGUCUCUACUAAAAAUACAAAAAGAUUAGCAAGGUGUGGUGGCAUGCACCUGUAAUCCCAGCUACUCAGGAGGCUGAGGCACGAAAAUGGCUUGCACCUGAAGGAGGAGGCUGCAGUGAGAUGGUACCACUGAAACCCAGACUGGGAGACAAAGACACUGUCUCAAAAAUAAAUAAAUAGAUAAAUUUUAAAAAAUUUAACCUUCCUUUCUUUAGAAUCUGAAAAUUUCUAAGACUUGAAACUAGAAGUCUUAGCAGUCCAUCUCGUUUUCUAAUGGACAAAUGUAACGUUGAUAAUUGUGAAAAUGUGAAUGGUAUGAAUCCAAAAGACUUUUUUUCAAGUCAUGUGUUUUUAAGUGGCAGGAAAGCUCUAAACUAGGGGUUUCAAAUCCCCAGACCAUGAACCAGUACUGAUCUGUGGCUUGUUAGGAAUGGGGCUGCACAGCAGGAGGUGAGCAGUAGACAAGUGAGCAAAGCUUCAUCUGUAUUUACAGCCGCUCCCCAUCGCUCGCAUGAUCACCUGAGCUCUGCCUCCUGUCAGAUCAGCAGUGGCAUUAGAUUCUCACAGGAGUGUGAACCCUAUUGUGGACUGCAUAUUUAAGGGAUCUAGGUUCUCCUUAUGAGAUUAGAUUCUCCUUAUGAGAAUCUAAUGCCCUAUGAUCUGUACUGUCUCCCAUCACCCCUAGAUGGGACCAUCUAGUUGCAAAAAAGCAAGCUUAGGGCUCCCACUGAUUCUACCUUAUGGUGACUUUUAUAAUUAUUCCAUUAUAUAUUUCAAUGUAAUAAUAAUAAAGUGCACAAUAAAUGUAAUGUGCUUGAAUCAUCCUGAAACCAUUCCCCCCUCAACCCCAGUCCAUGGAAAAAUUGUCUUCCACAAAACUGGUAUCUGGUGCCAAAAAGGUUGGGGACCACUGCUUUAAGCCAUAGGAUGUGUUCAGUAAAGUGGUCUCCCUGCAGCCAGCUUGGAAGCUACAAAAGCCACAGACAAUCCAGUGUGUGUGAGGCUGC
RNAcentral lists this long non-coding RNA (1507 nucleotides) under Macaca fascicularis (crab-eating macaque). Its description in RNAcentral is "lncRNA (ENSMFAG00000059851.1)". Lineage: Eukaryota; Metazoa; Chordata; Mammalia; Primates; Cercopithecidae. The record is from RNAcentral.